Long non-coding RNA from Haemorhous mexicanus (house finch), 3456 nucleotides. RefSeq lists it as uncharacterized. The record is from RefSeq and is a predicted model, not a curated record. NCBI's taxonomy places the organism in Eukaryota, Metazoa, Chordata, Aves, Passeriformes, Fringillidae. The transcript has 6 exons.
UCCGUCCUGGCCUGUUGUGGGGCCGAGCGCGGGCGGGAGCGAGGGUGUCUGAGUCAGAGCUGCAUCGACGGAGGAAUAAACGCCAAAACUCCUUUCUCGGCCGCUCUCACACCCCCAGCCUCCGGCUUCUUCCUCACGACCGUCGAUGCUGUCAGUAUACGUGUUCUUUAUGAAUCUCUAACAGCAUAUUUUCGGCCUAAACUGCGCGAAAAGCCGGGCAGACCCGCCGGAUCUCACACACGCAGAAGGACUACCUGAGGGGAGGGGAAGAGGGGCGCGAGAAAGGAGCGGGAAUUUUUGCAGACCUGCUCAGGAGGUUUUGACUGAAACUUUCAGUAAGACAUUCGAGGCUGAAAAUCUUCCCCGAAGCGUUUAGGACUCCAAGGCAAGUGGGAGAAAGCUUCUUUCCUUAGAGCGAGUGCGAGAGCAUUCGCUGAAGGCAUUUCUGUUCUGCAGGGAAUGAGACAAGCAGAGAACGAGCCUCGUUUGCUUGUUAGGGAACGGCGCUCGGGGAGUAGGAAUGGCGUGCUUCCAUCCAAACCAGCGGGCGCUGCCAAUGCCAGGAGCUCACUCAGCCUUUCAGGGCAGACACAGCUCCGGCCAUUCGUAAGCAGCCCGUCUUUCUAACCACCAUAUCUCCUCCCAGCUCCCGCUGUACUCCUACGCCGCCCUGCCUCCCCUUCCCGGCUUCAGCCCCUCCAGCGAUACGGCUGGUGGAGGGAGGGGAGGCGGCGGCUGGGGUUUCGUUCGACGCCCACCAGGGGCUGAGCGAGCCUUCUUCAGUGCGCAAACUCGGGGCACCAGAUAAAAGCUGGGCUGGCAGCUCUUACCCUGCCUCGAUGGAGCCGCCACUUUCGGGUGACUGGAGAAGCAGUUAGCAGCAGCGCCAUAGACUAGCGUCCCUCCCACACCUUGGGCACAGAGAGUUUGGGGCUCUAAACAGCUGCUGCUGCGGCAGGAGGGAGCCGAGGGCGCUUGGCUGGGGCUGCUCGCUCGGGUUCUGCCUGUUGUUGCGCGAAAUGGCGGCUGGCGUCUUGGCUUUCACUGCACUGGGAUUGUUUCUUACACAGCUGAAAGAGCUGCUCCUACAGGUCAUCGUCCUGGGUGGGAGCAGCAGCAGCUUACUCCAGGACAGGACAUGAAACUUGGAAUAUAGCUGAAGGUGCUGUGCAGAUCAGGAUACUGAAUGGCACAGAAGAACUAUUGGACCCCAGGCUAACACUUUCCAAACCACUCUACUGACAACAUGUCAUAACCAGACCAGAACACAACUACAAAUAACAGUAGGAAAUCUACCGACAUCAUGCCAAGAGAUGUGCAGCCGGAGAAGCGAGUGGCAGCAGCGUGGUGACCUCAGGCUGUGAUGGGAUGGGAAUGAAAGCCUCCAGCUGGCACUGCUCUCCGCAGAGUGCCAUCCUGUCUGCCACGUUUUUGGUUGGUGCCUGACGAAGACGUGAGCCCUCCUCAGCUGUUCUCUGCAGCUGCGUUGCCGGGGAUGCCCUCAGAUCUGCGUUCAGGGACUAACCAUCUCGCAUCUGGGAGAGAGAAGACAAAGGGAAGACAGCAAGUUGAGUGCUGGACUGUGGGUCAAAACUUCAUCUGUAUAAUCCUAACAUGGAAACAUGCUGAAAAAAGGAGGGAACAGGAGUGAGAACUGGAAAAACUGCUUCAGGCUGUUGUUUUCUGGCACAAUGCCCAGCCGGCACUGCACCAGGCAGCUCAGACCUGGAGCCUGUUUUCCCUGCUGUGUGCUGCCUGCGUCAUUUUCUGGCCUGGGACGACAUCUGGCUGGCAUGUUGUUUUCCACACCCCUGGAGGAGUGCUCUUUCUAGCCAGUUACUGCAGUGCUUGGCAUUAAAAUACAGUGAAUUAGACUACAAAGUAUCAUGAGAUGGGCUUAAAAAUAAUGAGGCUUAAGUGCAGUUGAGCUUUGAGUACUUUUUGUUUGCCUUCUGGGUUAAAAAACAUUACAAUAUGUGAUGUCCAUGAAUUCUUGCAUUUCAUCAUGACUGUGAGUGUUCAGAAGUCACCUUAAGAAUAGGAAAAACAAAAACCGACAGAAUGAAUGAACAAACCAAAACCACAAAAAACCCAACAAAAUACAACAAACAUAAUGCACCCAUAUCUCUUUAUUGAGAAGUCCAGGAUAAAUUAUUUGGGUUUUCAGAUUAACACUAGUUAUUACAAACUCUCAAUUAAAAAAAAGAGGGUAAUUAGCAAUAGAAAGUAGAAGGGAGAUGGUGGGAAGAGAAAAUUCACAGAAAUGGGGAAGAAGACUCAUUACCUUCAAGAGAUUGUUCAAGUCCAGUAAGAAGCAGGCGUUGUGAUGAUGUAACACCACACAGUUGUCUCCAGAUUUUAUUUUCCCAGUGUCUGGAAAGACUUCUCCCACUAGCAGACAAGGGUCCUAGAUGAACAGAAUUCACAGUCUGGAAACAGACACCACUGACUGUAACACUGGUCUUCUACACUGCCAAGCCAGCCUGUGUGCUCCUACAUCCACCAAGUUGUACCAGCACAAGGAACUUGGGCUUAACUUCUUUCACUUCCUUCUGGGUUUCAGCAGCACCUUUGCAUAACGAUGUGUUCCAGUUUUCAGUGACAACCUGUUGCAAAUCUUCCAAUCUACCCCAGCAGUGCAAACAAUUUUCACAAAACCUGGUGUUUUUACACAAUGUGGAGCAGAGGUACUGUGUGCUGGCAGAGUUGUUUAAUGUACUGUCCAGUUGCAGGCACAGGUCUGGGUGCCACGUUAGCUCAACCUGAUUUUUUCUAGCUGAGGAAUUCUGGAGAAAGCUACAAAUGUGAGGGUUACACACCAGUAAUUUUUCUGUUGGUCUGUGUGGCUUUAUUACUUCUCAACACAGUAAUAAAGCUUUCUGGCUUUACCUCUUAGAGGUAGAAUGGAUAAGCUUAGGUGAAAUACAUCCCUUCCAACUACAGCAAGAAAAUAAUUCAGUACCAAUAACAAGUUAGCGCUAUUAAUGCAUUAAAAUCUGGCCUCUGUGCACAUGCCUAUCAGUUAAAAACAUACUGCAAGAAGAUGGGAAUGGUACCCUUUAAGAGUGUAACCACACAUGUAGCAGCUGCUCUGAUAUCAUGUGUCAGUGUCUCCUCGUUGAAAUUUACUGAAUUAUUGAUGCAUUUGUGAGAUUAAUUAAGCAUUGGAGUAACCUGCCCAGAAACACCAUGUGCUUUUCAGUGCUGAUGUUUAUGGGACCUGGAUGGAUAAUGCCCUGAACCCGUGGAGCAGGAGGUUGCACUAGAGGCCACCCAAAGCUGCUCAAACAUGAAUAUUCCUUCAGUACUGUGACUCCGUGCAUCCCAGGCAUGGAUCUCAGGUUCUGAGAUUCUUCCCUGCACUUUCCAGUCUGUAAAAGUUCAGCUGUGGUUCUUCAUCCUCUGUAAUUCUUGUAAAAAGGAAAAAAAAAUACAUGCUACUGAAACAUAGUAAAA